Molecule: ribosomal RNA, 208 nt
Filed under: uncultured bacterium
Lineage: Bacteria
Description: partial 16S ribosomal RNA
Rfam family: Bacterial small subunit ribosomal RNA
Source: RNAcentral
UGCGUAGGCGGUUAGUUAAGUCUGUUGUGAAAUCCCCGGGCUCAACCUGGGAAUGGCAAUGGAAACUGGCUAGCUAGAGUGUGUCGGAGGAUGGUGGAAUUUCCGGUGUAGCGGUGAAAUGCGUAGAGAUCGGAAGGAACAUCAGUGGCGAAGGCGGCCAUCUGGGACAACACUGACGCUGAAGCACGAAAGCGUGGGGAGGCAAACA